This 664-nucleotide ribosomal RNA is filed under the name uncultured Lachnospiraceae bacterium. RNAcentral's name for it is "bacterial SSU rRNA". It matches the Rfam family "Bacterial small subunit ribosomal RNA", at positions 49 to 715 of the family's 1533-position model. The record is from RNAcentral. Lineage: Bacteria; Bacillati; Bacillota; Clostridia; Lachnospirales; Lachnospiraceae.
UAACACAUGCAAGUCGAACGGGAUUACUCUAUUGAAACUUCGGUCGAUUUAAUUUAAUUCUAGUGGCGGACGGGUGAGUAACGCGUGGGUAACCUGCCUUAUACAGGGGGAUAACAGUCAGAAAUGGCUGCUAAUACCGCAUAAGCGCACAGAGCUGCAUGGCUCGGUGUGAAAAACUCCGGUGGUAUAAGAUGGACCCGCGUUGGAUUAGCUUGUUGGUGGGGUAACGGCCCACCAAGGCGACGAUCCAUAGCCGGCCUGAGAGGGUGAACGGCCACAUUGGGACUGAGACACGGCCCAGACUCCUACGGGAGGCAGCAGUGGGGAAUAUUGCACAAUGGGGGAAACCCUGAUGCAGCGACGCCGCGUGAAGGAAGAAGUAUCUCGGUAUGUAAACUUCUAUCAGCAGGGAAGAUAGUGACGGUACCUGACUAAGAAGCCCCGGCUAACUACGUGCCAGCAGCCGCGGUAAUACGUAGGGGGCAAGCGUUAUCCGGAUUUACUGGGUGUAAAGGGAGCGUAGACGGUGUGGCAAGUCUGAUGUGAAAGGCAUGGGCUCAACCUGUGGACUGCAUUGGAAACUGUCAUACUUGAGUGCCGGAGGGGUAAGCGGAAUUCCUAGUGUAGCGGUGAAAUGCGUAGAUAUUAGGAGGAACACCAGUGG